CACAAGUUAGAUUCAAACAUAUUAUGGUUAAGGUACAUACAGAUUUUUUUUUUUUUUUAAACUGAUUAAGCAUCAGGUUACUGUAUUACACAGAGAUACUUAUAAAUAACAACAUAUCAUUGCACUGAUAUUUACAAUCAGAUAUAUACCUGGGAUUUACAUUAUUACAUUUUUAUUCUAUGAAGUACAUGCCCAGCCAAAUACCCCUCAAGGAAGAGGGAUGUCUUGACUCCAAAUGACAACAUAUCAUUGCACUGAUAUUUACAAUCAGAUAUAUACCUGGGAUUUACAUUAUUACAUUUUUAUUCUAUGAAGUACAUGCCCAGCCAAAUACCCCUCAAGGAAGAGGGAUGUCUUGACUCCAAAUGACAACAUAUCAUUGCACUGAUAUUUACAAUCAGAUAUAUACCUGGGAUUUACAUUAUUACAUUUUUAUUCUAUGAAGUACAUGCCCAGCCAAAUACCCCUCAAGGAAGAGGGAUGUCUUGACUCCAAAUGACAACAUAUCAUUGCACUGAUAUUUACAAUCAGAUAUAUACCUGGGAUUUACAUUAUUACAUUUUUAUUCUAUGAAGUACAUGCCCAGCCAAAUACCCCUCAAGGAAGAGGGAUGUCUUGACUCCAAAUGACAACAUAUCAUUGCACUGAUAUUUACAAUCAGAUAUAUACCUGGGAUUUACAUUAUUACAUUUUUAUUCUAUGAAGUACAUGCCCAGCCAAAUACCCCUCAAGGAAGAGGGAUGUCUUGACUCCACUCGCAUUUCGCAAGGGAGAAAGACGUUAUAAACAAUCUCCACACAAUUAUAACUAAUUGAGGAAGUUUGAGUUCGUGGAGACUCGAACCAUUGCCCUCAUAGUCAUGCUUGACUUUAAGGGCAAUGGUUCACCACCGGGCCACAAGCCCAAGUGGC
This 911-nucleotide long non-coding RNA is filed under the name Citrus sinensis (sweet orange). RNAcentral's name for it is "long non-coding RNA (CSIN_LNC001390)". The record is from RNAcentral. Lineage: Eukaryota; Viridiplantae; Streptophyta; Magnoliopsida; Sapindales; Rutaceae.